GAAACGGGGUCUAAUACCGGAUAACACUCUGUCCCGCAUGGGACGGGGUUGAAAGCUCCGGCGGUGAAGGAUGAGCCCGCGGCCUAUCAGCUUGUUGGUGGGGUAAUGGCCUACCAAGGCGACGACGGGUAGCCGGCCUGAGAGGGCGACCGGCCACACUGGGACUGAGACACGGCCCAGACUCCUACGGGAGGCAGCAGUGGGGAAUAUUGCACAAUGGGCGAAAGCCUGAUGCAGCGACGCCGCGUGAGGGAUGACGGCCUUCGGGUUGUAAACCUCUUUCAGCAGGGAAGAAGCGAAAGUGACGGUACCUGCAGAAGAAGCGCCGGCUAACUACGUGCCAGCAGCCGCGGUAAUACGUAGGGCGCAAGCGUUGUCCGGAAUUAUUGGGCGUAAAGAGCUCGUAGGCGGCUUGUCACGUCGGAUGUGAAAGCCCGGGGCUUAACCCCGGGUCUGCAUUCGAUACGGGCUAGCUAGAGUGUGGUAGGGGAGAUCGGAAUUCCUGGUGUAGCGGUGAAAUGCGCAGAUAUCAGGAGGAACACCGGUGGCGAAGGCGGAUCUCUGGGCCAUUACUGACGCUGAGGAGCGAAAGCGUGGGGAGCGAACAGGAUUAGAUACCCUGGUAGUCCACGCCGUAAACGUUGGGAACUAGGUGUUGGCGACAUUCCACGUCGUCGGUGCCGCAGCUAACGCAUUAAGU
This 700-nucleotide ribosomal RNA is filed under the name Streptomyces globisporus. RNAcentral describes it as "bacterial SSU rRNA". It matches the Rfam family "Bacterial small subunit ribosomal RNA", at positions 153 to 865 of the family's 1533-position model. Lineage: Bacteria; Bacillati; Actinomycetota; Actinomycetes; Kitasatosporales; Streptomycetaceae. The record is from RNAcentral.